CUGCCGUGUGUGUCCAGGCAGAAAAACGCCGAGCACAGCCGGGGUUUGUCUGAGCUCACCUUUCAUGCAAGAAACAAAAGCAGCAAAGCGCAGCAAACGUGUUUUGACAAACACGAGCGUGUGCGUGUGUAGUAUUUUUGCAGCGAGUGCACUGGGUGGGUGUAGAUGGGCAUCAAACAAGGACAGUUCAAUCCACGGGCUGUUCACAGCUGCUCGGCUUCCAAAACACCACAGAGUGGUUCCGAGCUGCCUCCCAGCAUCACUCAGAGCUUCCUCGGGCAUUUUCACGGGACUGGAUGGGGCUGCAGGAGUAAAGUACAGGAAGGGUGCCAAGAAGAUGGACCAUGCUCUGCUCGGUGGUGCCGAACCACAGGAGAAGAGGCUGCAGAACUGAAGGCCACGGAUUCCCACCAGAACAUGAGGAAGAACUUUGUUCCUGUGCAGGUGAACGAACACUACUGAACAGAUCGCCUGGAGAGGGUGUGGAGUCUCCCUCGCUGGCGAUAUUCCAGAAGCCGUCUGGACACAAUCCUGUGCCCUGUGCUCUGGGAUGACCCUGCCUGAGCCGGGAGGUGAAACACCAGGUUACCCACGGUGCUCCCUCCAUCCUGACCCGCUCUGCGGUUCGGGGGGUCCCGCGGCCCCGGCAGCUGCGGCCGCCCCGCCUGGGCGCGUCCGGGGGGCGCGGG
Prinia subflava (tawny-flanked prinia) is the source of this 689-nucleotide long non-coding RNA. RefSeq lists it as uncharacterized. The transcript has 3 exons. The record is from RefSeq and is a predicted model, not a curated record. Lineage: Eukaryota; Metazoa; Chordata; Aves; Passeriformes; Cisticolidae.